CCUACGGGAGGCAGCAGUGAGGAAUAUUGGUCAAUGGCCGGGAGGCUGAACCAGCCAAGUCGCGUGAGGGAAGACGGCCCUACGGGUUGUAAACCUCUUUUGUCAGGGAGCAAGGUGCAGGUCGGGACCUGCUGUGAGAGUACCUGAAGAAAAAGCAUCGACUAACUCCGUGCCAGCAGCCGCGGUAAUACGGAGGAUGCGAGCGUUAUCCGGAUUUAUUGGGUUUAAAGGGUGCGCAGGCGGAGGCACAAGUCAGCGGUAAAAUCGCGGGGCUCAACCCCGCUCCGCCGUUGAAACUGUGGCCCUUGAGUGCGCGAAGGGUAGGCGGAAUGCGUGGUGUAGCGGUGAAAUGCAUAGAUAUCACGCAGAACUCCGAUCGCGAAGGCAGCCUACCGGCGCGCAAAUGACGCUCAUGCACGAAAGCGUGGGUAUCGAACAGGAUUAGAUACCCUUGUAGUC
This 459-nucleotide ribosomal RNA is filed under the name uncultured bacterium. Its description in RNAcentral is "partial 16S ribosomal RNA". It matches the Rfam family "Bacterial small subunit ribosomal RNA", at positions 338 to 795 of the family's 1533-position model. The record is from RNAcentral.